GUCGAGUCGGCCUGCGCGGAAGAUGUAACGGGGCUAAACCAUGCACCGAAGCUGCGGCAGCGACACUAUGUGUUGUUGGGUAGGGGAGCGUUCUGUAAGCCUGUGAAGGUGGCCUGUGAGGGUUGCUGGAGGUAUCAGAAGUGCGAAUGCUGACAUAAGUAACGAUAAAGCGGGUGAAAAGCCCGCUCGCCGGAAGACCAAGGGUUCCUGUCCAACGUUAAUCGGGGCAGGGUG
Molecule: ribosomal RNA, 234 nt
Filed under: Escherichia coli
Lineage: Bacteria; Pseudomonadati; Pseudomonadota; Gammaproteobacteria; Enterobacterales; Enterobacteriaceae
Description: partial 23S ribosomal RNA
Rfam family: Bacterial large subunit ribosomal RNA
Source: RNAcentral